CCUACGGGUGGCAGCAGUGAGGAAUAUUGGUCAAUGGGCGGAAGCCUGAACCAGCCAAGUAGCGUGCAGGAUGACGGCCCUACGGGUUGUAAGCUGCUUUUAUACGGGAAUAACGCGCCUUACGUGUAGGGCUUUUCAUGUACCGUAUGAAUAAGGACCGGCUAAUUCCGUGCCAGCAGCCGCGGUAAUACGGAAGGUCCGGGCGUUGUCCGGAUUUAUUGGGUUUAAGGGGAGCGUAGGCCGCAUGUCAAGCGUGCUAUGAAAUGUCCGGGCUCAACCCCGUCGUGCAGUUGAAACUGAUGUUCUUGAGUGGUCGAGAAGUAUGCGGAAUGCGUGGUGUAGCGGUGAAAUGCAUAGAUAUCACGCAGAACUCCGAUUGCGAAGGCAGCAUACCGGCGCCCAACUGACGCUGAAGCACGAAAGCGUGGGUAUCGAACAGGAUUAGAUACCCCUGUAGUC
Molecule: ribosomal RNA, 459 nt
Filed under: uncultured bacterium
Lineage: Bacteria
Description: partial 16S ribosomal RNA
Rfam family: Bacterial small subunit ribosomal RNA
Source: RNAcentral